CGGCAGCACGGGAGCAAUCCUGGUGGCGAGUGGCGAACGGGUGAGUAAUACAUCGGAACGUGUCCUGUAGUGGGGGAUAGCCCGGCGAAAGCCGGAUUAAUACCGCAUACGCUCUACGGAGGAAAGGGGGGGAUCUUAGGACCUCUCGUUAUAGGGGCGGCCGAUGGCAGAUUAGCUAGUUGGUGGGGUAAAGGCCUACCAAGGCGACGAUCUGUAGCUGGUCUGAGAGGACGACCAGCCACACUGGGACUGAGACACGGCCCAGACUCCUACGGGAGGCAGCAGUGGGGAAUUUUGGACAAUGGGGGAAACCCUGAUCCAGCAAUGCCGCGUGUGUGAAGAAGGCCUUCGGGUUGUAAAGCACUUUUGUCCGGAAAGAAAUCCUCUGUCCUAAUACGGCGGGGGGAUGACGGUACCGGAAGAAUAAGCACCGGCUAACUACGUGCCAGCAGCCGCGGUAAUACGUAGGGUGCAAGCGUUAAUCGGAAUUACUGGGCGUAAAGCGUGCGCAGGCGGUUCGCUAAGACAGAUGUGAAAUCCCCGGGCUUAACCUG
This 554-nucleotide ribosomal RNA is filed under the name uncultured Burkholderia sp. RNAcentral describes it as "bacterial SSU rRNA". It matches the Rfam family "Bacterial small subunit ribosomal RNA", at positions 67 to 616 of the family's 1533-position model. Lineage: Bacteria; Pseudomonadati; Pseudomonadota; Betaproteobacteria; Burkholderiales; Burkholderiaceae. The record is from RNAcentral.